ACUGCAUCCAGGGGAGUUAGUUAUCUGCAAGAAGAAGAGGAAAGACCGGGACAAGUCAGCAGUGAGGUCAAGGACUGGAUCAAGUGGUCCAGUCUCCCCCCCUAGCAUGGGCCGUAAUAUCACGAGUCCUGUUUUGAAUUCAAUACCUAAAGAUGCGAGACUGAACACUAGUCCUGUUUUGAAUUCAAUACCUAAAGAUGCGAGACUGAAUACUAGUCCUGUUUUGAAUUCAAUACCUAAAGAUGCGAGACUGAGCCAGCAGAAUACGCAUCAGCAAGGGUGGGUGAACCAACCACAACCACCAAAUGGUGGUGCGGGGAGUGUUGGUUGGGCAAAUCCUGUAAAGAGGUUGAGGACAGAUGCUGGUAAAAGAAGGCCGAGCCAU
RNAcentral lists this long non-coding RNA (385 nucleotides) under Populus trichocarpa (black cottonwood). Its description in RNAcentral is "long non-coding RNA (PTRI_LNC003282)". Lineage: Eukaryota; Viridiplantae; Streptophyta; Magnoliopsida; Malpighiales; Salicaceae. The record is from RNAcentral.